AGAGUUUGAUCAUGGCUCAGGAUGAACGCUAGCGGGAGGCCUAACACAUGCAAGCCGAGCGGUAGAAUUUCUUCGGAGAUUUGAGAGCGGCGUACGGGUGCGUAACACGUGUGCAACCUACCUUUAUCUGGGGGAUAGCCUUUCGAAAGGAAGAUUAAUACCCCAUAAUAUAAUGAAUGGCAUCAUUUAUUAUUGAAAACUCCGGUGGAUAGAGAUGGGCACGCGCAAGAUUAGAUAGUUGGUGAGGUAACGGCUCACCAAGUCAAUGAUCUUUAGGGGGCCUGAGAGGGUGAUCCCCCACACUGGUACUGAGACACGGACCAGACUCCUACGGGAGGCAGCAGUGAGGAAUAUUGGACAAUGGGUGAGAGCCUGAUCCAGCCAUCCCGCGUGAAGGACGACUGCCCUAUGGGUUGUAAACUUCUUUUGUACAGGGAUAAACCAUUCUACGUGUAGAAUGCUGAAGGUACUGUACGAAUAAGCACCGGCUAACUCCGUGCCAGCAGCCGCGGUAAUACGGAGGGUGCAAGCGUUAUCCGGAUUUAUUGGGUUUAAAGGGUCCGUAGGCGGGCUGAUAAGUCAGUGGUGAAAGCCGACAGCUUAACUGUCGAACUGCCAUUGAUACUGUCAGUCUUGAGUAUAUUUGAGGUAGCUGGAAUAAGUAGUGUAGCGGUGAAAUGCAUAGAUAUUACUUAGAACACCAAUUGCGAAGGCAGGUUACCAAGAUAUAACUGACGCUGAUGGACGAAAGCGUGGGGAGCGAACAGGAUUAGAUACCCUGGUAGUCCACGCCGUAAACGAUGCUAACUCGUUUUUGGGGUUUAGGCUUCAGAGACCAAGCGAAAGUGAUAAGUUAGCCACCUGGGGAGUACGUUCGCAAGAAUGAAACUCAAAGGAAUUGACGGGGGCCCGCACAAGCGGAGGAUCAUGUGGUUUAAUUCGAUGAUACGCGAGGAACCUUACCAAGGCUUAAAUGGGAAUUGACAGGCUUAGAAAUAGGUCUUUCUUCGGACAAUUUUCAAGGUGCUGCAUGGUUGUCGUCAGCUCGUGCCGUGAGGUGUUAGGUUAAGUCCUGCAACGAGCGCAACCCCUGUCACUAGUUGCUAACAUUUAGUUGAGGACUCUAGUGAGACUGCCUACGCAAGUAGAGAGGAAGGUGGGGAUGACGUCAAAUCAUCACGGCCCUUACGCCUUGGGCCACACACGUGAUACAAUGGAUGGUACAGAGGGCUGCUACUAUGUGAAUAGAUGCUAAUCUCGAAAGCCAUUCUCAGUUCGGAUUGGAGUCUGCAACUCGACUCUAUGAAGCUGGAUUCGCUAGUAAUCGCAUAUCAGCCAUGAUGCGGUGAAUACGUUCCCGGGCCUUGUACACACCGCCCGUCAAGCCAUGGAAGCGGGUUCUGCCAGAAGUAGUUAGCCUAACCGCAAGGAGGGCGAUUACCACGGCAGGGUUCGUGACUGGGGUGAAGUCGUAACAAGGUAACCGUA
This 1488-nucleotide ribosomal RNA is filed under the name uncultured Bacteroidota bacterium. RNAcentral's name for it is "uncultured Bacteroidetes bacterium partial 16S ribosomal RNA". It matches the Rfam family "Bacterial small subunit ribosomal RNA". Lineage: Bacteria; Pseudomonadati; Bacteroidota. The record is from RNAcentral.